GGGGGGGGGGGGGGGGGGGGGGGGGGGGGGGGGGGGGGGCGGGCGGGCGGGGAGCUUGCUCCUGUGACGUUAGCGGCGGCCGGUUGAGUCACACGUGGAUACCUUAGCUGUAAGACGGGGAUGACGGCGGGAAGCCGGAGCUCGUCCCGGAUAAUAUCUUUACCCGCAUGGUUCCAUCGUGAACGACUGUUUUGCUGUCUCUUAUCGAUGGAUCCUGACCGACUUAGCUACUUGGUAAGGUAACCGCUUACCAAGGCAACGCUGCGUAGCCGACCGGAGAGGGUGAUCGGCCACACUGGAACUGAGACACGGUCCAGACGCCUACGGGAGGCAGCAGUAGGGAAUCUUCCGCAAUGGGCGAAAGCCGGACGGAGCAACGCCGCGUGAGUGAUGAAGGUCUUCGGAUCGUAAAACUCUGUUAUUAGGGAAGAACAAAUGUGUAAGUAACUAUGCACGUCUUGACGGUACCUAAUCAGAAAGCCACGGCUAACUACGUG
This 497-nucleotide ribosomal RNA is filed under the name uncultured bacterium. Its description in RNAcentral is "partial 16S ribosomal RNA". It matches the Rfam family "Bacterial small subunit ribosomal RNA", at positions 27 to 507 of the family's 1533-position model. The record is from RNAcentral.